GACGAACGCUGGCGGCGUGCCUAAUACAUGCAAGUAGAACGCUGAAGAGAGGAGCUUGCUCUUCUUGGAUGAGUUGCGAACGGGUGAGUAACGCGUAGGUAACCUGCCUUGUAGCGGGGGAUAACUAUUGGAAACGAUAGCUAAUACCGCAUAACAAUGGAUGACACAUGUCAUUUAUUUGAAAGGGGCAAUUGCUCCACUACAAGAUGGACCUGCGUUGUAUUAGCUAGUAGGUGAGGUAAUGGCUCACCUAGGCGACGAUACAUAGCCGACCUGAGAGGGUGAUCGGCCACACUGGGACUGAGACACGGCCCAGACUCCUACGGGAGGCAGCAGUAGGGAAUCUUCGGCAAUGGGGGCAACCCUGACCGAGCAACGCCGCGUGAGUGAAGAAGGUUUUCGGAUCGUAAAACUCUGUUGUAAGUCAAGAACGGGUGUGAGAGUGGAAAGUUCACACUGUGACGGUAGCUUACCAGAAAGGGACGGCUAACUACGUG
This 497-nucleotide ribosomal RNA is filed under the name uncultured bacterium. RNAcentral describes it as "partial 16S ribosomal RNA". It matches the Rfam family "Bacterial small subunit ribosomal RNA", at positions 28 to 507 of the family's 1533-position model. The record is from RNAcentral.